CCUACGGGAGGCAGCAGUGGGGAAUAUUGCACAAUGGGGGAAACCCUGAUGCAGCGACGCCGCGUGCGUGAAGACGUCUUUCGGUAUGUUAAGCUCUAUCAGUAGGGAAGUAAAUGACGGUACCUGUUUAAGUAUCCCCGGCUAACUACGUGCCAGCAGCCGCGGUAAUACGUAGGGGGCACGCGUUAUCCGGAUUUACUGGGUGUAAAGGGAGCGUAGGCGGGAGCACAAGUCUGGAGUGAAAUGCCGGGGCUUAACCCCGGAACUGCAGUGGAAACUGUGCAGCUAGAGUGCAGGGGAGGUAAGUGGAAGUCCUAGUGUAGCGGUGAAAUGCGUAGAUAUUAGGAAGAACACCGAUGGCGAAGGCGGCUUGCUGGACUGUAACUGACGUUGAGGCUCGAAAGCGUGGGGAGCGAACAGGAUUAGAUACCCGGGUAGUC
RNAcentral lists this ribosomal RNA (440 nucleotides) under uncultured bacterium. RNAcentral's name for it is "partial 16S ribosomal RNA". It matches the Rfam family "Bacterial small subunit ribosomal RNA", at positions 338 to 795 of the family's 1533-position model. The record is from RNAcentral.